AUUUUGGUGGUGGAUGAGCCGAAUGUCAAUGUGUUUUGCUUGCCGGGUGGGAAGAUUGUGGUCUUCAUAGGGUUGCUCAAGAAUUUUAGAAGUGAUAUAUGCCGAUAUAGCUAUGAUAAUUGGUCAUGAGAUUGGGCAUGCCGUAGCUUGACACUAUCAAGAGGGCAUCACAAAGAGCCUGUGGGUUGCAAUCCUGCAACUGGUUCUUUAUCAGCUUAUUUCACCUGAUUUUGUCAACCCAUUAUCCAAUCUUUUCUUAAGGCUUCUUUUUUCCCGAAGUAAGGUUACUUUGAUGAUCAGUAUACUAGGACUCAACCGGACCAUGCGUGCAGUACUUAUUGACUGGCUUGUGGAGGUGAUUGAUCUUUGUUGAUAGCUUGAUGAGGUACUGUGUAAAGAGAAACUGAAGUUGAAUUCUGAUUGUAAUUUACGUGGCUCGACUUCUUCUCCCUUUAAGAUCAGGUUGCUGAAAGUGCUAUUAGCUUUGACUGAGGUUUCUGUUCCAUUAGAAGCUCUUCAACCUCUUUGGACCUCCAUGAACCGUAAAUCUUGGGGUAGAAAGUUACAUUCCUCGUCAUCAGCUGAAGACCUUCUCCAGGUUCUGGCAUCGCUGGACGGUGCCAUAAAGAUAGAAUAUUUAUCUUCAAACUCUGAGACUACCAGUGAGCUGCUAUAUUCCUCAAAUGAAAAAGGACGUACGUGUUACUAGCAAUUUUUCUUUUCCUGAUAGCGUUGUUGUGCUUCCAUGGAUACCACUUACAACAGUUGCUGUGGCUCUUAGGCUCAUGGAGUUUGAUAUAUGUGGCCAUCGUAAACAUGCUACAGAAGAAGCUGGAGACUCAAAAGAACAAGGAAUCUGAGAAUUUUAUAAAAUUAUGAGGAGAUCUGUGCACCCCUGGUUGAAGAAUUUUGUUACAUUACUUAUAGGGUCCCUUAUUGAUAACACAUGUUUUAAGGAAAGAGUGGGCAGUAAAGGCGCGCAAAUCAUAUAGCCAAAAUGAUAUUGACGAGGUGUGCAUUGAAGUGGCUGAUUAUAUACAGAGUUUGGUGUAAGACUUUUGACUUCCAUGAUUUUGAGUAAGGCUAGUUUUUGCUUUGAAGCAAAGUUUGGUGUAGAACGUACUUUUGUAGUUGGUUGCUAAUAUGUUUCUAAGCUAGCCUUUGUAGGUUUUGGGUUUUAUUUUGUGAAUUAUGUUGAAUCAUGAAUUUGGAAAGAAAAUUAAUGGAAAGCUCCAAUUUUUGGGUGAUGAGAAAUGUAUUUCUUUUUCCAGCAACUAGAUGAAAUCGAUGUCCUAUGAUUAUCAAUA
Long non-coding RNA from Rosa chinensis, 1307 nucleotides. RefSeq lists it as uncharacterized. The transcript has 7 exons. The record is from RefSeq and is a predicted model, not a curated record. Lineage: Eukaryota; Viridiplantae; Streptophyta; Magnoliopsida; Rosales; Rosaceae.